GGGGCUGUGGCGCAGUGGUAGCGCAUCUCCUUUGCAAGGAGAGGGUCGCGAGUUCGAAUCUCGCCAGCUCCA
Molecule: transfer RNA, 72 nt
Filed under: Candidatus Servula neotermitis
Lineage: Bacteria; Bacillati; Actinomycetota; Actinomycetes; Bifidobacteriales; Bifidobacteriaceae
Description: tRNA-Ala
Rfam family: tRNA
About the family: Transfer RNA (tRNA) molecules are approximately 80 nucleotides in length.
Source: RNAcentral